AAGUAGGGGGUAGUAUAGGGUAUUAGUAAAAAGAUUUAGGUGGGUAAACCAAUUUGAUAAGAAUAGUUUUAGUAAAGGGUAAAGAAGAAAUAAUGUAAGCAAUAGUUUAGUACCGUGAGGGAAGGUUGAAAUAGUUGAAAAGUGUGUUUAAGAAAAAGUAGAUUUUAUAUCGUACCUUUUGUAUCAGGGUUUAAUAAGUAUAGUGGAGGAAUCUAAAAUCUCGAUGUGAGGAGUGCGGUGAUUUUAAUAUAGUUCAGGUAGCAAACUGAUUAUACAUAAAUUUACAGCAAUGAAAUAUUAAGCGGUCCUCAAGGUAUCUAGUUUUUUAAGAAAUGAAUUUAAUUCAGGGACUAAAAGAAUUUAAAGACUUUUCAUUGAGUUUUAAAAAGUUCUAAUGCCGUGGGGGAUAAGCUCCGCGGCAUGGUUAAAACUUAAGAGUUGAGAAAAUGAGUAGGCUUGAAAUUAGCCACCUCUUUAAAGAUGUUACAAUUUAUUUUCGAGAGUUUCAAUUUUUAACAGUUUAAGGAAGUUAUUAAGAAAUAAUCUGGAACAAGAAGAGAUUAAUUAUAAUGUUAAAAUUAGUAUAGAAUAUGAAGGAAUAAUUAAGUUUUGGGAAGGAACUCGGCAAAAAUAAUGCUCGCCUGUUUAUCAAAAACAUCGCCUUUUGUAAAAAUAGAAGGUCUAGCCUGCCCACUGAAUAAUUAAAGGGCCGCGGUAUAUUGACCGUGCAAAGGUAGCAUAAUCAUUAGUCUUCUAAUUAAAGGCUGGAAUGAAUGGUUGGACGAGGUAUUAGCUGUCUCCCUAAAAUUAGCUAAAACUUAACUUUUUAGUCAAAAGGCUGAAAUGGAGUUGGAGGACGAGAAGACCCUAUAGAUCUUUAUAUUUCAACCAUUCAAUCACUUUAGAAGAAAUAAGGUUUAAUGGGUCAAAUAUUUUGUUGGGGUGACAGGAAGAUAAUAAAAACUAUUUUUAUAAAAGCAACAUUGAUGUAUGAAUAAGUGAUCCGUUAAAGCGAUUAAAAGACUAAGUUACCUUAGGGAUAACAGCGUAAUCCUUUUUGAGAGUUCUAAUCGACAAAAGGGGUUGCGACCUCGAUGUUGGACUAAGGGUUAUUCUUGGGUGUAGAAGUUCAAGGUUUAGGUCUGUUCGACCUUUGAAUCCUUACAUGAUCUGAGUUCAGACCGGCGUAAGCCAGGUUGGUUUCUAUCCUCAAUUAGAAAUAAUAUUUUAGUACGAAAGGACCAAAUAUUAGGGAUAUUCUCUAUAAAUUGAAUAUCAGUA
RNAcentral lists this ribosomal RNA (1281 nucleotides) under Epeorus alexandri. RNAcentral's name for it is "16S ribosomal RNA". It matches the Rfam family "Bacterial large subunit ribosomal RNA", at positions 162 to 2733 of the family's 2925-position model. Lineage: Eukaryota; Metazoa; Arthropoda; Insecta; Ephemeroptera; Heptageniidae. The record is from RNAcentral.